GGGAGAGGAAACUACAGGAAUUCCCCUACCCUGGAAUAAGAGAGAUUAUACUUCAGAUCCCAGAAACGAACCAAGCCCCUCUUCUUUCUGGUAAUGCUCCAGGUUGAAGAUUUUAAAGAUGACAAGGUAAAAUUGCUGAAGUCAAAAGAGAAAGACCUAUCCCAACACAAGCAGGUAGAGACUGUGCGGCAGGAGGAAACUCUAGGUGGGACCAAGUUUUUGACUACCCGCCGGCCUGCUCGUCGUCACCCUACAGAUCCAGAAGGCCUCUCUUCCCUUACCUCCAGAAAAGUGCAAGGAAAUAUCAAGAAUGUGGCUCAAGGUCCCAUUCUUAACAGUUUAUCUGACAAAUCCCAGGGUGGACUUCUGGCUAUGAGCGUCACCAUCCCUGAGGCCCAAAGAAGAUCUCAAACAAAAGUAACAUUCUUCUUCACCCCCUUCAGCCCAGCCAUACCAGCAGGAAACAGACACUAAUAAAGAGACGGGGGCCCCUGCCUUCCCCUUCCCCAAUUCAGG
This 516-nucleotide long non-coding RNA is filed under the name Vombatus ursinus (common wombat). Its description in RNAcentral is "lncRNA (ENSVURG00010009100.1)". The record is from RNAcentral. Lineage: Eukaryota; Metazoa; Chordata; Mammalia; Diprotodontia; Vombatidae.